This 519-nucleotide ribosomal RNA is filed under the name uncultured eukaryote. RNAcentral's name for it is "SSU rRNA". It matches the Rfam family "Eukaryotic small subunit ribosomal RNA", at positions 1161 to 1699 of the family's 1831-position model. The record is from RNAcentral.
AGGGCACCACCAGGAGUGGAGCCUGCGGCUUAAUUUGACUCAACACGGGAAAACUCACCCGGCCCGGACACUGGAAGGAUUGACAGAUUGAGAGCUCUUUCUUGAUUCAGUGGGUGGUGGUGCAUGGCCGUUCUUAGUUGGUGGAGUGAUUUGUCUGGUUAAUUCCGAUAACGAACGAGACUCUAGCCUACUAAAUAGAUCGUCGGCUUACAAACGCCGGCGAGACUUCUUAGAGGGACAGGCGGUGAUUCAACCGCACGAAACAGAGCAAUAACAGGUCUGUGAUGCCCUUAGAUGUCCGGGGCCGCACGCGCGCUACACUGAAGUGAUCAGCGUGCUUUUUCAACCUACUCUGUCAAGAGUGGGGAACCCAAUGAACCUUCUUCGUGAUUGGGAUAGGGGAUUGUAAUUGUUCCCCUUGAACGAGGAAUUCCCAGUAAGCGCGUGUCAUAAGCUCGCGUUGAUUACGUCCCUGCCCUUUGUACACACCGCCCGUCGCUACUACCGAUUGAAUGUUUU